RNAcentral lists this long non-coding RNA (507 nucleotides) under Musa acuminata (dwarf banana). RNAcentral's name for it is "long non-coding RNA (MACU_LNC004031)". Lineage: Eukaryota; Viridiplantae; Streptophyta; Magnoliopsida; Zingiberales; Musaceae. The record is from RNAcentral.
ACAAACACUCCGAUCACUUGGAAGCAUGCACUAAGAGUGGCUUUGUUACAUCCCUGUCACCAGCUGGGGAAUCCAUUAUUAACACUGGCUUCCGGUGGUUUCCUCUCAGAGAUCUAAGAAGCCAGAGUUAAUUUCUCAUGUGAUCCUGUGAGAGGAAUGCACAAGAUGCCCAGAUAGGAUCACUCACUAAUGGAAGCUGAGCUCGUCCUCCCCUGUGCUGGUGCUUGGUGGACCACGAACUCCCAUGCUUUCUGAUUGCUGCUGCGCAUCAGAUGUCGGAGCACUGUAGCAAAAGAGGAGCAAACAGCGCUUUCACGGUUCCCACAGCUGCUGCUGCGACGAGUGGCUUUAGAAUCGCCGGAGGAUCUUUCUGUGUCAGACACACUGAAACCUCCAACACGCAACGGGCGCUUUCUUGUUGCUCCCGUGUCUCAUUCUUCAUCUGAGAGACACUACUGCUGGGCCAUUAAGCGUAUGAAUCUGAGUUCCACACCAUCUUACUUUCAG